Molecule: long non-coding RNA, 3742 nt
Organism: Oncorhynchus tshawytscha (Chinook salmon)
Lineage: Eukaryota; Metazoa; Chordata; Actinopteri; Salmoniformes; Salmonidae
Source: Ensembl
GGACCUCAGUAGACUACUGCCUCAGUGGAACUAACACAGGACCUCAGUAGACUACUGCCUCAGUGGGACUAACACAGGACCUCAGUAGACUACUGCCUCUACUGGGUUGAGCAGAAACUUUUCCUCUUACUGAGGAGUGUAACAGCACCCACGAUCUGAGAGGAGGACCUGUCACGAUCUGAGAGGAGGACCUGUCACGAUCUGAGAGGAGGACCUGUCACGAUCUGAGAGGAGGACCUGUCACUAUCUGAGAGGAGGAUCUGUCUCGAUCUGAGAGGAGGACCUGUCACGAUCUGAGAGGAGGACCUGUCUCACGAUCUGAGAGGAGGACCUGUCACGAUCUGAGAGGAGGACCUGUCACGAUCUGAGAGGAGGACCUGUCUCGAUCUGAGAGGAGGACCUGUCACGAUCUGAGAGGAGGGACCUGUCUCGAUCUGAGAGGAGGACCUGCCUCGAUCUGAGAGGAGGACCUGCCACGAUCUGAGAGGAGGACCUGUCUCGAUCUGAGAGGAGGACCUGUCACGAUCUGAGAGGGGAGGACCUGUCUCGAUCUGAGAGGAGGACCUGUCUCGAUCUGAGAGGAGGGGAGGAUGGCUCUGAGAGGAGGACCUGUCUCGAUCUGAGAGGAGGGGAGGAUGGCUCUGAGAGGAGGAUUACUACAUCAUGGGAUCACCUUCACCUCCUAGCCUGACAGACAUUAUAUACAAGCUGUGUCCCAGAUGGUGCCCUAUCCCUAAUGUAGUGCACUACUUUGGACCACAGUCCUAUGGACCCUAGCCAAAUGUAGUGCACUACUUUGGACCACAAUCCUAUGGGCCCUAGCCAAAUGUAGUGCACUACUUUGGACCACAGCCCUAUGGGCCCUAGCCAAAUGUAGUGCACUAUAAAGGGAAUAUGAUGACAUUUGUGACACAACCAUAGUCUAUGGUGACCAAGCAUAGUGUUUUUACAUCACAAGGCAGGAUAUGUAAGAGGCUCCUCCCACUGUACCUCUGUCUCAUCACAGACAACCAAUGAAGGCUUGGUAGCUAUCCAUCUGACUAGACGUUGGUAUUGUCUAUUAUAGGCAUGUGCUGGUAUUUACAUCACAAGUCACUGAGAGCCACUAAAAAUGGCCCCCUAUUUCAUAUAUACUGCAUUACUUUUGAGCAGAGCUCGAGCCCUGGUCUAUAGUAGUGUACUAUAUAGGGAAUAGGGCCCUGGCCUAAAGUAGUGCACUACAUAGGGAAUAGGGUUCUGGUCUAAAGUAGUGCACUAUAUAGGGAAUAGGGCCCUGGCCAAAGUAGUGCACUACAUAGGGAAUAGGGUACCAUUUGGGUUACUCAACUAGUGAGGCCUUUCCAAACACCAGCAUAGGUGCAUGUCUCUCUGGUAGCUAGAUAGAGUCAAAGAACACCUAACAUGCCUUUACCGUGGAUUCAACUAUUUCCUACAUUAUGAAGUCAGACAACCAAAUAUUUAUUUACAACAGAUAUAGUGAGAUGUAGAGGCUAACGUUAGAUUGUUUUAUAUAGAUUUGUACAUUGUUUUUGUACAUAAAGGCACUAUGUCAAUGAUAUUCUAAUGCUGUCUCUUGGAGAAGGGACCACAUGCUUUUUUUGAAUGGAUUAAAAAUUCAGCUCCUGAUCAGCUGAAAUGGAAUUCAGAAUCACUGUUUGAACAAUCUAGAACAUUCUAUGGAACUAUAGAAUCACAAAACAACUGAAAAGACUGAAUAAAGCUGAUGACUGUUAUGAGAUGGACUCUCUCCAACUAGUAAGCAUAGAUUUACUUUUGUAAAACUGGGUAUUUUUUAUAAGUAGUACAAAAUAAAGUUUUCAAUGAGUGAAUUUAGACUAUAUUCUUUUGAUAAUAAUUAUGGUUGCAAAUAAAAUAAACAAUUCUAAUAAUGUUUUGCAGAUUAUUCAAUAUUUGGAUGUGUUCAGUAAACAGUACUUUUAUUGUAAACAAUAUAUUGUUUUUGUUUAUAUGCCAACUAUUCUGUACUGCUUGUUUGACAUUCUCCAAUAUUUGGUUCUUCACCUUAGUGCCAAUGCAGUUCCACAUUGUAGUGAUGCGUGUAUCUGAAUGGAGGGCUUACUUACAAGUCAUAUGGUGCAGGUACACUAUUGUUCAAAAGCUUUGGUCACUGAGAAAUGUCCUUGUUUUUUUUAAAGAAAAGCACAUUUGUUUGUCCAUUAAAAUAACAUCAAAUUGAACAGAAAUACAGUGUAGACAUUGUUAAUGUUGUAAAUGACUAUUGUAGCUGGAAACGGCUGAUUCUUUAUGGAAUAUCUACAUGGGCAUACAGAGGCCCAUUAUCAGCAACCAUCACUGAUGUGUUCCAAUGGCACAUUGUGUUAGCUAAUCCAAGUUUAUCGUUUUAAAAGGCUAAUUGAUCAUUAGAAAACCCUUUCACAAUUAUGUUAGCACAGCUGAAAACUGUUGUUCUGAUUAAAGAAGCAAUACAACUAUCCUUCUUUAGACUAGUUGAGUAUCUGGAGCAUCAGCAUUUGUGGGUUCGAUUACAGGCUCAAAAUGGCCAGAAACAAAGACCUUUCUUCUGAAACUCAUCAGUCUAUUCUUGUUCUGAGAAAUUAAGGCUAUUCCAUGCGAGAAAUUGCCAAGAAACUGGAGGUCUCAUACAACGCAGUGUACUACUCCCUUCACAGAACAGUGCAAACUGGCUCUAACCAGAAUAAAAAGGAGAGUGGGGGGCCCCGGUGCACAACUGAGCAAGAGGACAAGUACAUUAGAGUGUCUAGUCUGAGAAACAGACGCUUCACAAGUCCUCAACUGGCAGCUUCAUUAAAUAAACUCAGAAAAAAGGAAAGCUCCUCUCACUGUCAACUGCGUUUAUUUUCAGCAAACUUAACAUGUGUAAAUAUUUCUAUGAACAUAAGAUUCAACAACUGAGACAUAAACUGAACACGUUCCACAGACAUGUGACCAACAGAAAUGGAAUAAUGUGUCCCUGAACAAAGGGGGGGUCAAAAACAAAAGUAACAGUCAGUAUCUGGUGUGGCCACCAGCUGCAUUAAGUACUACAGUGCAUCUCCUCCUCAUGGACUGCACCAGAUUUGCCAGUUCUUGCUAUGUGAUGUUACCCCACUCUUCCACCAAGGCACCUGCAAGUUCCCAGACAUUUCUCUGGGGAAUGGCCCUAGCCCUCACCCUCCGAUCCAACAGGUCCCUGACGCGCUCAAUGGGAAUGAGAUCCGGACUCUUUGCUGGCCAUGGCAGAACACUGACAUUCCUGCCUUGCAGGAAGUCACGCACAGAACAAGCAGUAUGGCUGGUGGCAUUGUCAUGCUGGAGGGUCACGUCAGGAUGAGCCUGCAGGAAGGGUUGUGUUAUUGACUGUACGUUUGUUUAUGUGUAACUCUGUGUUGUUGUUUUUGUCGCACUGCUUUGCUUUAUCUUGGCCAGGUCGCAGUUAUAAAUGAAAACUUGUUCUCAACUGGCCUACCUGGUUAAAUAAAGGUGAAAUAAAAUGUAAAAUAAAUAAAAGGGAACCACAUGAGGGAGGAGGAUGUCUUCCCUGUAACGCACAGCGUUGAGAUUGCCUGCAAUGACAACAAGCUCAGUACGAUGAUGCUGUGAUACACCCCCCCAGACCAUGACAGACCCUCCACCUCCAAAUCGAUCUCGCUCCAGAGUACAGACCUUGGUGUAACGAUCAGUCCUUUGACAAUAAACGCGAAUCCGACCAUCACGCCUGGUGAGACAAAACCAUGACUCGUCAGUGAAGAGCACUUUCCUG